RNAcentral lists this long non-coding RNA (390 nucleotides) under Homo sapiens (human). RNAcentral's name for it is "HSALNT0184045". Lineage: Eukaryota; Metazoa; Chordata; Mammalia; Primates; Hominidae. The record is from RNAcentral.
GUGGAGCGGUGUGGGGCAGCGGAUCAGGGAGGGGCUGAUGAGGCACUUAGGCUUUGUCCUGAGGGCAGCAGGGAGCAGUAGGAAGGUUAUCCGCAGCCAGUGGCAUCCUUAGAGCAGCGUCUUAUUUUUUAUUUUCGUUAUUUUCUGUAGAGACGGUGUCUUGCUAUAUUGCACAGGCUGGUCUGGAAUCCUGGUCCCAAACAAGUGGUCCUCCUGCCUCAGCCUCCCAAUGUGCUGUAGCAGCAUUUUAGCAGGACCAUGAUGGAAGCGGCUCGAAGGAUGGGCUGGAGCGGAGAGCCACGCGCGGGAGCCCUGCUGGAGGGAGUUACUGGAAGGUGUGCGCCACCAAAAUCAAGGAAGAAGACAAGGAACCCACAGGACUGUGGGCCG